Molecule: ribosomal RNA, 253 nt
Filed under: uncultured bacterium
Lineage: Bacteria
Description: partial 16S ribosomal RNA
Rfam family: Bacterial small subunit ribosomal RNA
Source: RNAcentral
UACGGGGGGGGCAAGCGUUGUUCGGAAUUACUGGGCGUAAAGGGUUCGUAGGUGGCUUGCUAAGUCAGACGUGAAAUCCCCGGGCUCAACCUGGGAACUGCAUCCGAGACUGCAUUGCUAGAGUAUGGGAGAGGGAAGCGGAAUUUCUGGUGUAGCAGUGAAAUGCGUAGAUAUCAGAAGGAACAUCAGUGGCGAAGGCGGCUUCCUGGACCAAUACUGACGAUCAGGUGCGAAAGCGUGGGGAGCAAACAGG